UACGUAGGGGGCAAGCGUUGUUCGGAAUUACUGGGCGUAGAGGGCGCGUAGGCGGCACGGCAAGUCAGGAGUGAAAGCCCGGGGCUCAACCCCGGAAUGUCUUUUGAAACUGCCGAGCUAGAGUGCGGAAGAGGCAACUGGAAUUCCCAGUGUAGCGGUGAAAUGCGUAGAUAUUGGGAAGAACACCUGAGGCGAAGGCGGGUUGCUGGGCCGACACUGACGCUGAGGCGCGAAAGCCAGGGGAGCGAACGGG
This 253-nucleotide ribosomal RNA is filed under the name uncultured bacterium. Its description in RNAcentral is "partial 16S ribosomal RNA". It matches the Rfam family "Bacterial small subunit ribosomal RNA", at positions 524 to 776 of the family's 1533-position model. The record is from RNAcentral.